This 494-nucleotide ribosomal RNA is filed under the name uncultured bacterium. Its description in RNAcentral is "partial 16S ribosomal RNA". It matches the Rfam family "Bacterial small subunit ribosomal RNA", at positions 28 to 507 of the family's 1533-position model. The record is from RNAcentral.
GACGAACGCUGGCGGCGCGCUUAACACAUGCAAGUCGAACGGAAAGGCCUGCUUUCCCUUGUGGAUUGCGGGUACUCGGGUGGCGAACGGGUGAGUAACACGUGAGUGAUCUGCCCCCAACUUGGGUAUAAGCCUGGGAAACUGGGUCUAAUUCCCGAUAGGACUGCAGGGUGGUGCCUGUGGUGGAAAACGAUUUUCUAGUGGUUGGGGAUGAGCUCGCGGCCUAUCAGCUUGUUGGUGGGGUAAUGGCCUACCAAGGCGGCGACGGGUAGCCGGCCUGGGAGGGUGGACGGCCACAUUGGGACUGAGAUACGGCCCAGACUCCUACGGGAGGCAGCAGUGGGGAAUAUUGCACAAUGGGCGGAAGCCUGAGGCAGCGACGCCGCGUGGGGGAUGACGGCCUUCGGGUUGUAAACUCCUUUCGACCGCGAGGAAGCCACCUGGUUGGAAGGGUGGUGACGGUAGUGGUAGAAGAAGCACCGGCUAACUACGUG